RNAcentral lists this ribosomal RNA (460 nucleotides) under uncultured bacterium. RNAcentral's name for it is "partial 16S ribosomal RNA". It matches the Rfam family "Bacterial small subunit ribosomal RNA", at positions 338 to 795 of the family's 1533-position model. The record is from RNAcentral.
CCUACGGGAGGCUGCAGUGAGGAAUAUUGGUCAAUGGACGAGAGUCUGAACCAGCCAAGUAGCGUGAAGGAUGACUGCCCUAUGGGUUGUAAACUUCUUUUAUAUGGGAAUAAAAUGUUCCACGUGUGGGAUUUUGUAUGUACCAUAUGAAUAAGGAUCGGCUAACUCCGUGCCAGCAGCCGCGGUAAUACGGAGGAUCCGAGCGUUAUCCGGAUUUAUUGGGUUUAAAGGGAGCGUAGGUGGAUUGUUAAGUCAGUUGUGAAAGUUUGCGGCUCAACCGUAAAAGUGCAGUUGAAACUGGCAGUCUUGAGUACAGUAGAGGUGGGCGGAAUUCGUGGUGUAGCGGUGAAAUGCUUAGAUAUCACGAAGAACCCCGAUUGCGAAGGCAGUUCACUGGACUGCAACUGACACUGAGGCUCGAAAGUGUGGGUAUCAAACAGGAUUAGAUACCCGUGUAGUC